Molecule: transfer RNA, 76 nt
Filed under: Rhodospirillaceae bacterium
Lineage: Bacteria; Pseudomonadati; Pseudomonadota; Alphaproteobacteria; Rhodospirillales; Rhodospirillaceae
Description: tRNA-Lys
Rfam family: tRNA
About the family: Transfer RNA (tRNA) molecules are approximately 80 nucleotides in length. Their secondary structure includes four short double-helical elements and three loops (D, anti-codon, and T loops).
Source: RNAcentral
GGGCGCUUAGCUCAGUUGGUAGAGCAAUCCCCUUUUAAGGGAUCGGUCACUGGUUCGAGUCCAGUAGCGCCUACCA